This 359-nucleotide unclassified non-coding RNA is filed under the name Cladonia isabellina. RNAcentral's name for it is "partial 28S-18S ribosomal RNA intergenic spacer". The record is from RNAcentral. Lineage: Eukaryota; Fungi; Ascomycota; Lecanoromycetes; Lecanorales; Cladoniaceae.
ACCGAAGCCUGUAACCGCCUCCGGGCGUGACGGGUGGCUGGUAUCCUCCUUCUGAGGGGUGUAUGUUGCAGCUUGGGCCGGCCCUUAGGGGUCGCGAACCCCCAAGACUGCGGCGGACCAUCCCUUGGGCAACUCAGUGGGGGCAAUUGGAUGGCCCGUAGGCAUCUUCGGCGGCUUCGGCCCUGGAGGUGGCUCGGGCCGGGUGCUGGGCUUCGGUUCACGUCCCGACCUUUUAACUAGCUCUGAUACCUCUUCAUUGAGGGCUGCCGGGGAGGUCUUUCGCUCCUCGAGGCGGAAGGCCUACCCGGGGGAAGAUAGUUACCUGGUUGAUUCUGCCAGUAGUCAUAUGCUUGUCUCAA